RNAcentral lists this transfer RNA (41 nucleotides) under Egernia napoleonis. Its description in RNAcentral is "partial tRNA-Leu". Lineage: Eukaryota; Metazoa; Chordata; Lepidosauria; Squamata; Scincidae. The record is from RNAcentral.
CUUUUAAAGGAUCAAAGUCUAAUCCGUUGGUCUUAGACCAA